This 255-nucleotide ribosomal RNA is filed under the name uncultured bacterium. RNAcentral's name for it is "partial 16S ribosomal RNA". It matches the Rfam family "Bacterial small subunit ribosomal RNA", at positions 524 to 776 of the family's 1533-position model. The record is from RNAcentral.
UACAGAGGGUGCGAGCGUUAAUCGGAAUUACUGGGCGUAAAGGGUGCGUAGGCGGUUGAAAUAGUCUUGGGUAAAAGCCAGAAGCUCAACUUCUGAGUUUGCUUAAGAUACUUUUCGACUAGAGGGGCAAAGAGGUGAUUGGAACGAAUGGUGUAGUAGUGAAAUGCGUUGAUAUCAUUCGGAACACCGAAAGCGAAGGCAGAUCACUGGGUGCCACCUGACACUGCUAGGACGAAAGCGUGGGGAGCGAAUGGG